GACGUAGGGCGCGAGCGUUGUCCGGAAUUAUUGGGCGUAAAGAGCUCGUAGGCGGCUUGUUGCGUCGUCCGUGAAAUCCCGUGGCUCAACUGCGGGCUUGCGGACGAUACGGGCAGGCUAGAGUUCGGUAGGGGAGACUGGAAUUCCUGGUGUAGCGGUGAAAUGCGCAGAUAUCAGGAGGAACACCGGUGGCGAAGGCGGGUCUCUGGGCCGUAACUGACGCUGAGGAGCGAAAGCAUGGGGAGCGAACAGG
Molecule: ribosomal RNA, 253 nt
Filed under: uncultured bacterium
Lineage: Bacteria
Description: partial 16S ribosomal RNA
Rfam family: Bacterial small subunit ribosomal RNA
Source: RNAcentral